UGGGGAAUAUUGCGCAAUGGGCGAAAGCCUGACGCAGCGACGCCGCGUGAGGGAUGAAGGUUUUCGGAUCGUAAACCUCUGUCAGAAGGGAAGAAACCGCACUGUGCUAAUCGGCAGUGCCUUGACGGUACCUUCAAAGGAAGCACCGGCUAACUCCGUGCCAGCAGCCGCGGUAAUACGGAGGGUGCAAGCGUUAAUCGGAAUUACUGGGCGUAAAGCGCACGUAGGCUGCUUUGUAAGUCAGGGGUGAAAUCCCACGGCUCAACCGUGGAACUGCCUUUGAUACUGCUUAGCUUGAAUCCGGGAGAGGGUGGCGGAAUUCCAGGUGUAGGAGUGAAAUCCGUAGAUAUCUGGAGGAACAUCAGUGGCGAAGGCGGCCACCUGGACCGGUAUUGACGCUGAGGUGCGAAAGCGUGGGGAGCAAACAGG
RNAcentral lists this ribosomal RNA (429 nucleotides) under Fusobacteriota bacterium. RNAcentral describes it as "Fusobacteria bacterium partial 16S ribosomal RNA". It matches the Rfam family "Bacterial small subunit ribosomal RNA", at positions 355 to 776 of the family's 1533-position model. Lineage: Bacteria; Fusobacteriati; Fusobacteriota. The record is from RNAcentral.